Molecule: RNA transcript, 4587 nt
Organism: Chroicocephalus ridibundus (black-headed gull)
Lineage: Eukaryota; Metazoa; Chordata; Aves; Charadriiformes; Laridae
Gene: FLVCR2
Gene name: FLVCR choline and putative heme transporter 2
Exons: 12
Source: RefSeq, a predicted model, not a curated record
UGUUCCCCGGCUGGCUGGGCACACUGGGCAAGCCUUCGCCAGCCUGGCCGUAAACUGGGAGCGCUAAGGGAGGAGAGCAGCAAACUAGGGAGAGGGAAGAGAUGCACGGGGCCUGGAGGGCAGGAGCAAAGAUAAGAGGUGCUUACACGAAAAUCCUGCAGGGAAAUGCAGCUGGUACCUGGAGGGACACAGCUGGGGUCAAGCUGUGAGCUGAUGGUGGUGGCAGAAGCAGGUGGGAGCUAAGUCUACAAAGCUGGGGGCAGCCUGGGGGUUGGGUAUGAUUCUGGCUUUGCGCCAUGUUUGGACUCAGGGUCUUCUCCAGUGGCCUCCUACUCUGUCUGCGAACCUCUAGUCCAGGGGGAUGAUUCAGUAGCCCCGUGGAUGGGCUGGAGGUGGUGUUGUGGUGCUGAGAAACGCGCUUUAGGCACAGUGUCCUGCAAACCUCAGAUCUGCAGUUGCAUCUGGACUUGACACUGCAAUAUCCUCCUGCUGACAACGAGAUGGGACAAAGGCGAUUAACUGUCUGCUGGAAAGAGUACUUGUCACAGGGCCCUGGAGGAAAAGGACUUCAGCACUUUCAUACCUCUUAAAAGUAGGUACAGAGUUUCCACAGGCAGUUGCUUUGAAAAGAAGCAAACCUUCCAUCGUUCUAGGGCGAGGUAAGGUCCCCAAGCACUCUCGUAUCAAGGCGGGUCAGGGAGGCCAGCGACCCGCACUUGCUCAAGCUGUGACGGCCUUUACUUGUAGCCCAGCUAGUGCUCAGAGGAGACAAAUUUUUCCACAGCUUUGAAAGGAUGAGGGAAAUAGCUUCUUGACCCUUGCACGGGAACACCCACUCAUCCUUGUUGCACGAAGCAGAUAGACAGACCAAUACUGAUGCAACGUGGCGUGAGCGAAGUGAGUCUGGCUCUGCAAAGCCGAUGUGAAGAAGAGGGAAGUAGAACCUGGCAUUAGCUGUUAGGCUGGACCUCUGCCCCUCUACUUUGAGACCCAAUAUACUGCCCGACACAUGGCUGCGCCCUGCCCUGGGCUGUCUUUAGUUCAGCCUGUGGGUGCUAUUCGGACUUGAGUGGUUUGCAGUUCAGAUAGAUAGUUUCUUAAGCACGGUUUUCCUCACAGAUAACUUUGUGUGCAGUGGGUUUGAGGUCUCCUUUCCCCACAUUCCUGGGUUUCUGUAAUUAUUUAAAUACUGCUGAGGCAAGAAAAGGUGAAUGCUUGGAGAUGGUGUUUGUGGAAGAGUGCUAGGGAAUUAAGGACAUUCUGGCUUACAUCUUUUGGAAAGAGAAAACAUACUUAUCUUUCUCUUUGUGAAUCUUAGCUUUCCUCUUAUCACCCAAGCUAGUGGGCUGCUUUUUUAUGUGUUUUAAAUGAAUCUUUAGAGUGGAAGGCAUUUAACUUGGCACGAACACUCUGCUACUUUGGGGUAAAUAAGUAACAGAACAUUUUGCUGUCAGACUUUUUUUUUUUUUAAUUAUUCAGGUGGAGUUACUCAACAGUGUGCAUAAGAAAUCCAAACAAUGAGGGUUUCAGCCUGUGCUAUAUACGUGUAUGGUAUCCUCAUCGUCCUAAAAGGAGCAGGUUCUCCUUGUGGUCAUAGGGUGAGCCUUGUCUUGGGAGGCGGCUCAUUAGGAAACACCAUCAUAAAGUGUCUGAGCCAGAUUAGGAGUGGGAGGUUUCUGCCUGUACCCUUGUGCUUGUCUGGCUGGAAAAUAACUUGGUUCAACUCAUUGGACCAGCAAAGAAUUGUGCUCGGGAUCGCUGUGGGCUUUUUGGUCCCUCCAGUUCUGGUUCCCAAUGUGGAGGAUGUGGAGAAGCUGGCCUACCACAUCAGCAUCAUGUUCUUCAUGACUGCAGGCGUGGCAACAGCCCUGUUCAUCCUGGUUGUCAUAGUCUUCAAGGAGAAGCCCCUGCACCCUCCAAGCCGAGCUCAAGCCUUGAUCCAAUCAAGACCACCAGAGGAGUAUUCCUACGUGCAAUCAAUCCUCCGUCUGCUCCGCAAUGCCAACUUUUUGCUGCUCAUGGUCACUUACGGUCUGAAUACAGGUUGUUUCUACGCCCUGUCCACUCUGCUGAACCGCAUGGUGAUCCAUCACUACCCAGGGGAGGAGGUGAAUGCUGGCAGGAUUGGACUCACCAUUAUACUGUCGGGGAUGGUUGGGGCUUUGAUCUCCGGCAUCUGGUUGGACAGAACCAAAACCUACAAACAGACAACACUAGUUGUCUAUAUCAUGUCUCUGGCGGGAAUGAUAGCCUACACCUUCACUCUGAGCCUAGGCCACCUCUGGGUGGUCUUUGUGACUGCGGGCAUGCUGGGGUUUUUCAUGACAGGAUACCUUCCCCUGGGCUUUGAGUUUGCUGCAGAGUUGACAUACCCAGAAUCAGAAGGAACAUCAUCAGGGCUCCUUAACGUCUCGGCACAGAUUUUUGGUAUUGCCUUCACCAUCAGCCAAGGGCAAAUCAUGGAUCGUUACGGGACGAAGGCGGGGAAUAUCUUUCUUUGUUCCUUCCUGUUCCUGGGGACUGUUAUGACAGCAUUCAUUAAGGCUGAUCUCCGAAGACAGCAGGCCAAUUUGGAUAAUGAACAGACAGACAUUAGCAGAGAUGUCCACCCAACGUUCAUGAAGCCAUCAGCGACCAUGACUAGCAAAGUGCUUAAGCUCAGUUCUCUGCUCUCUCGAGUCACCUUUUUUCAGAAGACUGUGCUGCCUUCCUCCAGAUAAUCUAACCAGUCCGAUCUGGAGAGAGACCAGAAGGUCCAAGAAGCAGCUCUGCUCCGACUGGCUGCUCUGCUCAGGAAGAAAGUGAUGCCAGAAGCCUGCACCGAUCCCAUAAUCCUUGAGGAAUCAAAGCUGUGAAAUGGAGGGGUGGCAGAGCUGGGAGAUGCAGCCCCCCUUAUUCCCAUCCGUGCUACCUACCCAUUACAGGGGGGCAGCCUCAGGACAGGAGCUCAGUGAACUGCUGUGGAGAGCAUCAAAGAGCAAAACAAGAAGGGAGUUGCUCUUUUCAGUUAUACCUCUGCACCUUGCUGUUUUGGAGACUUUGCUGCUUGGGAAGAUGGGAAAACCCACUUCUUCCCCCCCAUCCCACCGUGUACGCUUGGAAAAGAAAAAGCACACAUGCUGAGAAAAGCCAUAGUUCAGGCUAGCCCUGAGCACGUGAGUGGCACCCUGCACGUGGCUGUGUCUCCUCUCCCAGGCAAGCUCUGACAUGAAAUGCAGAAGCUGGACUAUGCUUACUGUGUGAGCAGCCCCGGGAGAGCCUUCAGCUGGCUCUCAGGAGGAGGAAUUGCUCUCUGUUGGUGCCCAUGAUGCCUUCUGUGUUGCACAGGCGAUGGCAGAGGCCUCAGCACAUCACCAGCAAAUGCAAAGCAGUGCAUCUGCUGCUGCUGGCUCUGGUUUUAUUAUGUGACUGUCCCAGACAAAGCACUCUUAGUCUGUGGAUAAACCUCUGCUCAGGAUUCACUGAGGUUGCCCUGAUAUUCCUAUAUUUGAGAGAUACCAAUAUGCCUCCUUCUGCCUGGAGGCAAGGACUAGUUCCACAGCUUAUGUUUACAGCCUAAGCCUAGCUCAUCACUACACUGGCAACAGGAGUGAGUCAAACAACUAGCUCCCUGGGCUGAGGACUGUGUCUUCCUCCUUAAUGAUAAAGUGCCUUUUGCAUGUUUCAACACUACAUAAAAACUCUUGUGAAGUGUUCUAUUGAGAUAACCAGCCAAGGCUGUGUUGCUCUUUGCAGCCACAGAGAGGGGUUUGAAUAUGAUGGGGAUCCAGAUUUGCUCCAGUGUGGAAGCUUCCCACUUUAUAACAGAGAACAGGAGAAGCCCUCUUACCAGCAUUUGUGUCUCGUAGACACUGCCCCUCUGUAUGCUGCUGUUUAUCUUCUAAACAUAAAUGUAGAUCCUUCUAUCCCUUCUUCCUUUCCAGCAUCCUUCCACUGGUGGAGAUAUCAAGUGUCCUUAUACUAUUUAUCAUGCAGUUACACAUAUGUCACUUGUGUGUGGGGGGGAGGGACAAAGACCAAAACCAUGUGGAAUGAAUAAAAACAGUCCUCUCUGACAUACCAUUUUGGACAAAACAUUUUUUGGGUGAAAUUAUACAGUCUUGACAUAUUAAAAAAUUCAUGUCCUAUCUUGAGGAUGGGGAUCUAAAGUAGAAGUUUAUAUAAAAUAAAAACAUUCAAAGUGUACAAUAAAGCCUGACACAUUCAUAUUAAAUGGUUGAAACAGUCUAUACCUGGCUCUUUUAAUAGCCUGAAAUAUUUGUAGAAUGGAAAAAUCAUCGUUCUGCCCAGUGCUACUGUUGUCCUCUUUUCCUCCCUUCUGUGUUUUUUCUCUCUUCUGCACACGCACCAUCUUCCCAGCUAGGAGAUCCUGCUGGUUCCUUCCUACCUUCUAUGCACGGCCCAUCUGCUUUGGGGAUUAUUUCAUCUGCAUCUAAGCAACCUCAUCCUGUUUUCUCUAGUACCCGCUCACUGCAAAGGUAGCUCAGUCCUUGCUCUCAGAUGCACGCAGUUUGCUAUCACCAGUAUGCUGUGGAAGCGAGAGCUGCAACAACUCUUCAUGUGUGUGGGAGGUGAGCAGUCAGACCU